This 166-nucleotide unclassified non-coding RNA is filed under the name uncultured Phaeococcomyces. RNAcentral's name for it is "sequence contains ITS2". Lineage: Eukaryota; Fungi; Ascomycota; Eurotiomycetes; Chaetothyriales; Herpotrichiellaceae. The record is from RNAcentral.
UCCUCUCUCAAACCUCGGGUUUGGUGUUGGACCCAAGUUGGUUGGUCGACCAACUGGUCUCAAAGACAAUGACGGCGUCCGUGGGACCCUCUUCGCAACGAGCUUUUCGGAGCACGCGUCGAGUUUCAAGGACCCUCCGGGCCGGUCUCCCCUAAAUUACUUCUAA